ACGCCAAACGCAAAUAACAUAAAAGUUAAUUUUUUGGCUAUAUGCCAUCAUUCAGUUCAUACAUAAUAUUGUACGAGAAACCUACCAAAUUCACUUUAUAAAAAAUAAAAGAUAUUGCAACUACAGGCAACUCGAUAUAUACAUGUUACAACUAUACAAUGAAUGACUCACUAUCGAGUCUGCAAUCGGGCUAAGCCCUUUACAAGAGUCCAUAAUGAUCUACAGCACCUGAAAUGGUAGAGGAAACUAGGUAAGUUCUAAAUGAACUUAGUGAGUUCCAAAGAUAAUCAAUAACCUUUCAAACAAGAUUUCAAGGAAAUGAAAUUAAGCUAAACAAUUAAAAACAUUUGAUAUUAACAAACAACUUACAUUCUGAUGCAACAAUAUAGUUGCGCACAAUUCGUUAGUGGUUAUACAUAUCACAAGACAAUUACUGUUCAUUAGCGGAUACUGUCCACCUCUCAGUACAAGUCACUAAUAACUUCAAUCUUUAUGCAGAUAUUAGCUAAAUGUAAUUACAAAUCAAAACCAGAGAUUGUUCACAUGCAUAUACUUAUCACAACUAAGUACAUUUCAUGCAGAUAUUCAUCCUAGCUAAGCACUAUUCACGUGCAAAACCUUUACAUCAUACAUGCAUCCUUUGCAUGGAACAAUUCAUGGACCCUCUUCCUUGAGUUAGCUUCUGGUCCAUUCAACACUCUGAAGAGCUAUGGUUUCAUAUUCACGGUAUUGCUCCAUAGAGCUAGUUUCAUUUAUCAAAUAGAACCUCUGCAAAUCCUUUUUGUUAAUUUGAACACUUACGUUUUCCCUCUCAAGGCCGCAAUAUUCACCAAUCAUGGUUUGCAUUUACAUGCCCUACUGGAGGCAAAUCACAUAUCAUUUCAUAUUCUCCAUACAUCACUCCCAUCACAAUCACACCUCAAUCAGUUUACUCCGGUUCCCCCUUCCACCAUUUUGGACAUGAAGCUUGUGCUCCAAGGAAAAGUGUCCAUUUUUAAUCAUUCAUGCCCAUUCAAUCAAUUAUCAUUUCUUCCAAUUUAUUAACACACUCAUGCACAAUUGAUUAAAAAAAAUACUAACAUACUUGAAAGACUAAAUUUUUAUUGAGUUAGUUGGAAUUAAUUAGAAGCACAAGUGAAAGGAACUCACUAGAGAUUACCAGGAAAAGCUUUGUUUACUCUAGAGGCUCUUUCCUUUUUGCACCGAGGCCUUCUCCUAUUUUUUAGCUAAAUAAAAUCAAACAUUCUAUUAAAUACAGAAACAAUCGAAACUUAAUUGUAAAAAAGAGAAUUGAUAACAUGCAAUCAGUUAACCGAAAGGAAGUUUCCUUCCCUCCAAAACUUUCAGUGAAAACCUAUAUAAAUGGUUCCAACUACCCUUCCAUUCCCUGGUAUUAAACUAAAGAAGAGCUUAAGAAUUUACCAGCAAUUGGCUUGAAAAGGUUGCUAAUCUAACUGAAUAACUG
Molecule: long non-coding RNA, 1465 nt
Filed under: Gossypium barbadense (sea-island cotton)
Lineage: Eukaryota; Viridiplantae; Streptophyta; Magnoliopsida; Malvales; Malvaceae
Description: long non-coding RNA (GBAR_LNC022537)
Source: RNAcentral